CCUACUUUAUAUAAAUGAAUACCCAUAAAGAUAGCUCCCCACAUCUCCCAUAGCCAGUGGAAAUGAUAAAUUAUAGAUCAAUUCGGUUUCUACAAAUUCCCUAUAACACAAAUCAACUAAUGUCUUAGUUGCUGACAUAUCAUCAAGUUGAAGUUAUUAGCAGUAGAAAACAACUGUAACAUCACAAUUACCCAACAAAAUACCUAUGCAUCCACCAAUUCGUGAUAUUAAUACUAAGCUUAGAAAAAUCUCACCCAAAACUUUCUUGAAUGGUAAAGGAACAAAUUUGUGAGAUCUCCCUUCCCUGAUGCGAUUCCGAUGAAGAUCGACGCGAUUCCAGCUAGGAUCGAUGUACCACGGAGCUUCGACGCCUUGUAGCAGGCAAGAAAACGGAGAACGUUGCCCCCCCCAGUCAGAACACAAUCAGAGUUUCUAGGGCGCAAUAGUUCCUGCGCAGCGGCGGCGAGAGGUUCCUAUAUCUUCGAGUGGGGUCAGAGAUAACGGAGGUGGCCAACACAUAGGCUGCGAUGUAGCCGUGCAACGCAGAGCAAAGUUCGAUAGUGCCAGAUUGAAUUUAUUUCACAAACUUUGCCUUCGAUGAAGUCGAUGCCCGAUACCUGUAUGUUUGCAUCCAUAAUCAAAGAAAAAGAGAAUUAGGACCCCCAAAUUGAUAGGAACAACUAUAGGAGUGCAUUAAUAUCUGUGAAAUUGAGAAUAAAAAUGAGGAUUUAGUGGAUUUGUCGUGGCUGCAGCUGUCAAAAUGCCUGUAAAUCUUUUUUGAUAUUUUUCUGAUUUAAGCUCGCCGGACCAGAGACUGAGUGGGGCUGAGGAUCAUUUGGGAACGGUGAUGGAAUCUGGAGCUUAGGGACGACUGCAGCCGUCUUUUUUACCGGAAUCCUUGAAGAUAAGCGAGAGAUCGAGAUCUGCGAGCUGCACUGGGCUCCGGCGCCGCCUCCACCGGCACGGCGAGGCAAAGGGCGGCCCCCAUCUGCGACUCCGAAUCCUGUUCGUGGAAGACCCAAUUUCCCAAUUUUUCCACCUUGGAGGAAGAUUUUCCAUCGAUCUGGGUAGAAUGACCUUUUUUCCCCUCUUGGUUGAAAAUGAACAGUAUGUGGGAAUAGAAGUUCACUCGAAUUUGAAAAACCCACAAAUCAUAAGAUCUAUUCACGCCUCAUACGAACCCAACAGAAAAUCCCAUAAAUCUUGUCACUAGAAUCUGGAAAACCGAAGAACCUAGACCUGAAUCCCAAUUUGAAAACCAAAAAACACAAACCCCAGUCGAACACCCUCUUUCUUUUUCUUCGAUGAACAGUAAUCAGGAAAAUGAUGAUUUUUUUUGUAAGCUCGUCGGAACUCACGACGUAGCCCCGAUUCGUUCCCACAGACGGCGCCGGUUGAUAAAGCAUCUUAUCAACACCUAAACUAGAAAGCAAUGAAGGAGACAAGAUUUACGUGGUUCGGUCAUGAAGACCUACGUCCACAGGAGGUUCUUCGUUGGUUUCACUAUCUCAAGAGUAUUUUACAUAUUACAAGUGAAGUGCUAGAAUGAAUUGAUCCCCCUCAUGCUAAUGCUAAACCUUCUAUUUAUAGAUAACUAAUUGGGACUAACCCUAAAGCCCACGAAACAGAGAAAUGGAGCCCAAUCUCGGUGGUAAAGUUAGCUCUGGCAAGGUUGUCUCUGGUAGCUCUACACUCUGGCAGGGCUGGCAGUUCUGCUCUAUCAUGUUGUCUCUGUCUCUGUCUCUGGCAGGGUGGUCAGCUCUGCUCUGGCAAGGCGGGGAAGCUCUGCUCUGGCAGGGCGGGUGGCUCUGCUCUGGUGGCGGGUAGCUCUGCUCUGUCAAGGCGGUCAGCUCUGCUCUGUCAUGUUGCCUCUGUCUCUGUCUCUGGCAGGGUGGUCAGCUCUGCUCUGGCGGACGGGGUGGCUCUGCUCUGGCAGCGGGUAGCUCUGCUCUACACUCUGGUGGGCGGGUUGAUCUCUGCUCUGCUCUGCUCCUCGGCAGAGCUGGGGUCUGCUCUGCUCUGCUCCUCGGCAGAGCUGUGGUCUGCUUUGCUCUGCUCCUCGGUAGAGCUGGGGUCUACUCUGCUCUGCUCCUCGGCAGAGCCGGGCUUUACUCUCCUCUACUCCUCGGCAGAGUUGGGUCUGCUAUGCUCUGCUCCUCGGUAGAUCUGUCUCUGGUAUUGCUAAGCACAACAUUGAUGCAGAGUUUACUCCUCAUCAGGGCCUAUUUAGCUAAAACUCCCUUGUUGUACUGUUGAUAAUGGCAUGACAAUUUACAGUUUUACGAAGCAUGUUUAUAUUUAUACUUAGGCAUACGUGCCCACUGAGUACUCUCGUACUCAGCCCUGCAUAUAUUUCUAAAUGUGCAGGUUGAGCAGUGGUUGAUGAAGAUGAAGUGACAAAUAGAGCUUUUGUCAUAAGUUAAAUGAAUGAACUCUUGGAUACAUGUCAUACAUGUAAUCAGAUUAUGUUAUUCCGCUGCGUACUCUCAAGUACUAUGCCUUUUAGGUUAAGUUGGAUUCAUCCGAACCUACAAGUUUAUUUGAGUCUUUGUGAUUAAACACCAAUUAUCUUAUAAAGUCCCCUUCAUUUCCUUCAUUAGCAAUGAGUUGAGUUCGUUCCUCCAUCCUUUUCUCACUCCCUUUCUAUCCUCGCUUCUAAUCUCCCUCCCUUAGUCACGAUUUUCCGACUUAAUUAUCCUUAAUUGAGGCUGAUCGUGACAUAACUAAAUCCACACGAUAAAUCUAUUAAUCCUAUUAACUAAUUUAAUCCAGUUAUGAUGAGAGAUCACUUAAUUAAUCAAUCACUCUUACUAAAGCAGCAACGAUCGUAGAUUAGUAAAUUCACUAUAUCCGCUAGAUUUCAAGAAAAUCUACUAACUCCCAAUAGCUCCUAAGAAUAGCUCUGUGACACCCAAAUCUAAUUUAAUUUUAAAUGAAAACGCACACGAAAAAUCAUGACAAUAAAUAAAUAUUUAACGUGAAAAUAAAGAAAUAAAUAUCUUAUUUUAAAAUACUUUACUAAACAUGACAUUUUUAAGUAAACCUAAAUUUAAAAUAUUUGACUCGCCAAUUCGACCUUCCACGCGCCUCCGGCCUUUAAAACCUGAAAAUGUUAAGUAUGGGAUAAGCAUACAGGGUACACUCAAUGUGAGAACAUGCAAUAAUUGUCCACGUUAAUAAAAUGGUAACACAUAUGAUCAUAACAUUUCAUUACAUUUGCUCGCACGGUGGCAUACCAAGGACCUUUCCGUCCUGGACCCAUUCAACGGGCCCCUGGCGAUAAUAUAAUGGUUGCAACCUUAACUUUUACAUUUAUAUCACAUUGUGGCAUACCAAGGAUCUUUCCAUCCUGGACCCAUUCAACAGGCCCCUAGCGAUAUCCUCAAAAUAUACGUCAUAACACAUAUGGUAAACACAAAUUAUUAAAAUGGACAAUAAAUAAUCACGGUAUGUAUUUAAAUAAAUCUCACACCUAAAACUUGAGCUUUGAAAAAUUCAAUUUACUCGUCCAGCACCGUACAAUUACUAAAUAUAUACUUUAGUAUUAUGCUAUAAAUUAAUUGUAUAAGAUUGGUAAAGUGUUGGGGAUGAAAAAAUAAGAAAACUGUCGAGAGUAUAUAUAUAUAAGCAGAAAAUUUGUAUAGCUAGCUUGCAUGAGUCACAAGCCUAUUAUCUUAGGCUUAACUAUUCACUACUAGUUUUCCUUGCAAGCAAGACACGUGGCUUUGUGGGAAAGGUACAUAGCUACACUAUUAGGUAUACAAUACACACAUAUAUAAUAGGGUUAAUUGCAUGUAAUAUCAUGAACUUAACGCGAAAUCCAAAUUUAGCACGAAUUUAAAAAGUUCCAAUUAAUAUCACUACCUAUGCCCCGUGUCCAAUUUUAGCACCGUUUUUUGACGUGGCUUGUCGGCACAUGCUUCGAUCCUACGUGGCUUGCCGGUACAAGCUUCCGACCGGCGAGCCAAGCUCUCUCUCUCUCUUUCUCUCUCUCUCUCUCUCUCUCCNGGCGAUAAUUAAAUGGUUGCAACCUUAACUUUUACAUUUAAUCGCAUUGUGGCAUACCAAGGACCUUUCCGUCCUGGACCCAUUCAACGGGCCCCUAGCGAUAUCCUCAAAAUAUACGUCAUAACACAUAUUGUAAACACAUAAUAUUAAAAUGGACAAUAAUUAACCACGUGCAUGUAUUAAAAUAAAUCCCACACCUGAAACUUGAACUUGAAGGCUAACUUGAGAAAUUCAAUCAAAAGUUACGUCAUAGUCGCGCUGCACCUAGUCAGAUAAAUUCAAAUAAUAUAAUAUGAGGGUCUAUUUAUGAAAAUAAUUUAAUACUUAAAAAUCUAUUCUUUAAAAUCCUUAAAAACAUUGUCUUAGUUAAUAAAACAAAAUAAAAUAUUUAAAGAUCUUUUAAUUAAUAACAAAUCCAAUUUCAAUUAAAAAAAAAAAGUAAAGCCCAAAUUAAAGGUUAAUUUAAUAAUAAAAUAAGAGCCCAUCCCAAGCCCACCAUCCAACCAAAUUUUAAAACCUCAAUUGACUUCCACACACAACUCACGACACCCUAACUCCCUCUCUCUCUCUCUCUCGGCCUCCUGCUGCCGCCGCUAGAGGCCGGCGGCUCUGCCUCCCCAUCCCGUUUCCUCAACCUCUCUCCCUCUACCCUCAUCUCUCGCUCCCCGUCGAUCUCUCUCCCUCUCCCUCAUCUCUCGCCUCCCCCUGUCCUCUCCUCACCGCGCCCAGCUGCGGCCGCUCCGACGACCUUCGCCGCCUGCCAGAUCUGGCGCCCUCUUCCUUAUCCGGCCGGCAGAAACGGCCACCGCCUCCCCUCUUCCAUCUUCUCGGCUCGACUACAGCCGCGCCCAAAGAUCAUCUCCAAUUCCUCUCUACCAGUCUAUGUGUUAGAUUUGUUUCUAUUUGUUUCAGAUACUAUUAAGUUAUUUAUUAAGCAUCUGAAUUGCAAAUGAGUUGUUAUUUCAAAGGUAUGGUAUCAUGGAUAUGAGGAUUAUUGUUUUGAGGUUUAGGCUGUAAAUAUUGUAUCUGCAAGACUGCAACGAUAUAGAUCAAAUACAGGAGAUAAAUUUUGAAAUAAAACUAUGAGAAUUUACAGAAAUAAUAAAAUUACCAUUCGGAGCUUUGCAGAUGAAACGAAACGGGGUAAAGUUUCGAGGAUCGAAUGUUUGAAUUUGUACAGAUGUUUGGAAAAAUUCCAGAAAAUGAAACGUGAAGGCUGGAAUAAAUGUGGUGAAAUUGGCAUGAUACGUGGUUGAAAACAUAUGAAAUAAGCAUAUGUGGCUGGUAUGGAUGAGCAACACGUAAG
RNAcentral lists this long non-coding RNA (5314 nucleotides) under Salvia miltiorrhiza (redroot sage). RNAcentral describes it as "long non-coding RNA (SMIL_LNC005347)". Lineage: Eukaryota; Viridiplantae; Streptophyta; Magnoliopsida; Lamiales; Lamiaceae. The record is from RNAcentral.